Molecule: ribosomal RNA, 637 nt
Filed under: uncultured bacterium
Lineage: Bacteria
Description: bacterial SSU rRNA
Rfam family: Bacterial small subunit ribosomal RNA
Source: RNAcentral
AGAGUUUGAUCCUGGCUCAGGGUUAACGCUGGCGGUGCGCAUAACACAUGCAAGUCGAGCGAGGGCUUAUUUCCCGCAAGGGAGAUGAGUUCCUAGCGGCGAACGGGUGAGUAACACGUGGGUAACCUUUCCUAUCGCGGGGGAUAACACCGGGAAACCGAUGCUAAUACCGCAUGUCGUCACCGGCUCAUUGGUUGGUGAAGAAAGCAGCAAUGCACGAUGGGGUGGGCCCGCGGCCUAUCAGCUAGUCGGUGGGGUAACGGCCUACCGAGGCGAUGACGGGUAGCUGGUCUGAGAGGACGGCCAGCCACACGGGGACUGAGACACGGCCCCGACCCCUACGGGAGGCAGCAGUGAGGAAUCUUCCGCAAUGGGCGAAAGCCUGACGGAGCGACACCGCGUGUGGGAUGAAGUCUUUCGGGAUGUAAACCACUGUCGGAGGGGAAGACAUCGACGGUACCCUCCAAGAAAGCCCCGGCUAACUACGUGCCAGCAGCCGCGGUAAUACGUAGGGGGCAAGCGUUAUCCAGAUUUACUGGGCGUAAAGCGCGUGUAGGCGGCUGGUUAAGUGUGAUGUGAAAUCUUCCGGCUCAACCGGAAAAACUGCAUUGCAAACUGGCCUGGCUCGAGUGCAGGA